UCCGGGUUAGUCCCGGCGGUCCCGCCAGACUUCGUAACUGGCAGCGAGGGUUGCGCUCGUUGCGGGACUUAACCCUACACCUCACGGCACGAGCUGACGACAGCCAUGCAGCAUCUGUGCGCGCUCCCUUGCGGGUCCCCCCCGUUUCCGGGUCGUACCACGCGCAUGUCAAGCCCAGGUAAGGUUCUUCGCGUUGCAUCGAAUUAAACCACAUGCUCCACCGCUUGUGCAGGCCCCCGUCAAUUUCUUUGAGUUUUAACCUUGCGGCCGUACUCCCCAGGCGGAUGACUUAACGCGUUAGCUGCGCCACCGAAACGCUAAGCGCCCCGACAGCUAGUCAUCAUCGUUUACGGCGUGGACUAC
This 363-nucleotide unclassified non-coding RNA is filed under the name uncultured bacterium. Its description in RNAcentral is "contains 16S-23S intergenic spacer region". The record is from RNAcentral.